GUCCCUUGGGGGACAUCCGAAAAAUUGGAACGAUAUAGAGAAGAUUAGCAUGACCCCUAUGCAAAGAUGACAUGCACAAAUCGAGAAAUAUUCUAAGUUUGA
This 102-nucleotide small nuclear RNA is filed under the name Phaseolus vulgaris (common bean). Lineage: Eukaryota; Viridiplantae; Streptophyta; Magnoliopsida; Fabales; Fabaceae. The record is from RNAcentral.